UCAUAAUCGGUACAUAGCAGUGGUGCUUUGCUGUGCUUCCCAAAGCACACCGAGUCACAAAAAGAUCAAGAAAACCAAGUCAAAGGUUACUGCAUCAGAAUGUUCCCCUGUUUAUUGGUUUGCUUGUGAGGAAAUAGGAGUCCAUAAGGUACACCUAUUUCCCCAGUAGUCAGUAGACUGGAACAGAUGGACAAUUCUAAUAUCUCUACUCGAAUCAGAGGGUAGAUGCAGUCAGCUUGUUCUCUAUGGUAUCUCUGAGAAUGGCAUCUCAGCAGGUUAUAUUUUGCCUUGGGCAGACCUCAAAAACAAGAAACAAAAAAAUAGAAGAAACAAAUAUACAAACCAAGAAACAAAAAAAGCAAACAAGCCAACCAAACAAAAACGAACUAGCGGAUGAGAUGAGUUUGGCAAAAAGAAGCAGACAGAAAUGAGUUAGAAAGAAUGAACUAUGUAAAUUCCAUGCAUAAGGCAGGAAAGUUACAAUGACAGUAAGAGGAGAAAAAUACGGAAAGAAUCUUUGCCUAGCAGUUUCCUGAAUGUUUAAUCAAGAGUUGGACUCAUUUUCAUUUAUUUAUUUAUUUUUAGGAGGAAGUUUUUCACUCAGAUGUUGGCAACAUACUGGAGCAGGCUGCCCAAGGACAUGAAUGCCCCAUCCCUGGAGGCAUUCAAGGCCAGGCUGGAUGGGGCUCUGGGCAGCCUGGUCUCGUGGUUAGCAACCCUGCACAUGGAAGGGGGGCUGAAAUUAGAUGAUCAUCGUAGUCUUUUUCAUCCCAGGCCAUUCUAUGAUUCAGAGUUCUUUAAAUCAUGUCCAAUACCAUAAGCAAGGUGCAGGAGGAUGAAGAGUGAAGAAAUGUUCCCAGAAGUGAUAAAUAGAUUAAGGGGCAGCAAGGGAGGACUUGAACUAGGGCAACUUCUAGAGGUUCACAGAAUUACAAAGUAUCGCAAGCUGGAGGAGACCACAAGGAUGAUUGAAUCCAACUCCUGGCUUCACACAGGAUUACCCAUAAUUCAAAAAAUAUUUCAUGUGCAUAUUCAUGUACAGAAUACAAUCAUAUUUCUUUACCCAUAACAAUGGGUUCCUGUGGUCCUUGAUGUUACUUACUUAUUUACUCAUUUUUGACUGAAAAUCCACUUAUUCUCCAGAAGAAAUAUUUUUUAAUGAAACAGUAUAUCCUGAAAGAAACAACACAGUCAAAUGGCUAUAAAAAUGUGAAUAUAUACUGUGAUAUGGCUAUGAAAUGUGAAUGGCUAUGAAAAUGUGAAUAUAAUACUCUCUCUACACACCCUCAGAAAGACAGUUGCAGAAAACAACAGGACAGAGAAAGUUCGAGAUAGCGAGACUGUUUAUCCUUUACUGCUGUGGGCAAAAGAGAUUUGACUUGGGAAAAUUAACACAGUGUAAUAUCAGUUAAAAUGAAUAUGUUAUUCACUUGGAGCAAAACAAACAAAUAAAAAAGCAUAAAAACAAUGCCUUUCCUCACCCUUUCCUAGGCUCAAAUUCAGUUCUUCACUCCAGACUCUUCUACUACUUUGUUGCUGAUAAGAUAAGCACACUUAUUUUGAUCCUCUACCUGAAAUAUUGGACAGAUCAUCUCAUUCCUGACUACUAGCUCUUGGUUCUGCAUUUCCCUGAAUCUGGACUUUCUUCUGGCAAACUUUGGUUUUUACAUAUUGUUUUUGUGUUGCUCAGCUAGCCCUAAACAUUUUCUGUGUGGCCACUGCAUUAUAAGCUUUUUUCUAGCUACUGGCAUACUAUCAAAUUUUUGUUUGCCUUUCUUUCAUUAUUCAAAUAAUUCUGAUGCUUGAAGAUGUGGUCUAAUGACAAAAUAAAAUUAAGUAAUUCUGAUGUAGAUGUGAUCUAAUGAGAGGGGAUAUGCUUGUUAACAUUUCUGUAAUCGAAUCAUGGAAUCAUAGAAGGGUUUGUGUCAUUUAUCUCCAAACCCCUGUACAGGGUUGCCAUCCACUGUAUCAGGCAGGGCCCCAUCCAACCUGGCCUUGAGUGCCUACAGAGGUGCAGGCACCCACAGCUUCUCUGGGUAACCUGUGCCAGUGCCACACCACCUUCUGAGUGAAAAUCUUCCUCCUCACAUCUAAUCUAAAUCUCCCCUCUUGUAGUUUAAAACCUUUCCCCUUUUUCUAUCACUAUCAGAUUAUAUUAAAAAUUCAGUCUUCUUACUUACUGGAAGUAAGUACUGGAAGAUUUUUAUUUUUAUUUUUUUAGAUUGAAAAGAGAUAACAUGAGAAAAGAUGCUUGAAAGAUUCUUCUUUGUAGAGACGAGACUUAAAAAUAAAUAUUCAGGAUAAUUCAUAUCUAUCAUUAUCAUGAUACUUUUUUAAAGGUAAAGUGGUAGGGGAAGAGGGAAGAAGGGAAAAAGGAUGUCCUCUGCAUCUCAGGUUGCUUUUAGAAUUUACUCACAAUCCUUUACAAGCACUGAACCAAAAUAAAUCUUUUCUGUAGCAAAGAAAUAUUUGGUAAUAUAUUAGCUUGACAAGGUUGCCUUCGUUUGCAUUAGAGACUCUCUGGCUGAUAUAAAAUUAUCACUACACAUUACUAGAAAAAGAGCUCAUCUUUAUUCUCAUUCACUAGCCAUCACUAUAGUGGUAUUGCUGAUAUUGGCUGUCUUCAAGCUCAGACAUCCCAACGUAAUGAGAUAAGUACAGUCCUAGGAGUAGAAAUACUACCACUAGUAGUAUUUCUAUUUGAUACUAGUACCACUCGUAUCAAACUUUGGUGUGUGUUCACAUCAAAUUAUGUGCGUGUUAGCAAGAAACAAGGGCCAAUAAAAGACAAUCUCUAAAGCAAGAAAACUAGUGCUGAAAGACUAACACAUAAUGCACAGACAAGAUAGUAGAUUUUGGUUAUUUGCUUUAUUUUUGAAUUUAGUUCUUAUUUGUGUGUGUGCAUGUGUGGAAGAUUUUGUUUGUUUGUUUGUUUUGUUGUUGUUGUUGCUGUUUGUUUGCUUCUUUGGGGCACUUUUUCUUGAAUUGAACUUCUAAGCAAGGGUAACAGGAGCAAAAUCUCUCCCAGUGUAAGAGUAAGUCCAAGACCACUUCAUGAGUCUGUGUCAUGGUUUUAUGAUUUUUGGUUAUCAGUAUUCCACAUCACAACAUCAUGCAGUGUACUGGGAGUUAAGGAGCAAAUGCUUUAGUUCCGGGUACCUGUCUGGAAGAGAAGAACUACGUUCCCCAAGAGCCUUUUCGAGUACUGUUAUCAUUCCUGCUCAAGGGAACAGAUAUAAAGGCGCAGGUCAUCUGACUUGUCUCUCUUCUCGUCUCGCCGUGUUCCCUGUCGGAUCGGCUCGCUACUGCUGCUCCCGACUGCAUGCAAGGCUUCAGUAUUAGUGUAAGGCCUUUGGCUCUCGGACGAUCUUUCUCUCAAUUAUUGUUGAUUUAUAUUGUAUUAUAGUGUGUUAUCUUACAUUCCGAUACUAUAUUUAGUAAAUUAGUUUGUUUCUCC
This is a long non-coding RNA of Gallus gallus (chicken), 3457 nucleotides long. The record is from Ensembl. NCBI's taxonomy places the organism in Eukaryota, Metazoa, Chordata, Aves, Galliformes, Phasianidae.